CAGACGAUGCGUCAUGCAUAUCAAUAAGCGGAGGAAAAGAAACUAACAAGGAUUCCCCUAGUAACGGCGAGUGAAGCGGGAAGAGCUCAAAUUUGAAAUCUUAAAGGGUUUCCCUUUACGAAUUGUAGUUUAAAGAAGUGUUUUCUGUUGAGGUUUUGGUAAAAGUUCUUUGGAAUAGGACAUCAUAGAGGGUGAGAAUCCCGUAUUUGACCUUUACUUUCAACUUUGUGAUACACUUUCAAAGAGUCGGAUUGUUUGGGAAUGCAGUCCAAAAUGGGUGGUAAAUUUCAUCUAAAGCUAAAUAUUGGCGAGAGACCGAUAGCGAACAAGUACCGUGAGGGAAAGAUGAAAAGAACUUUGAAAAGAGAGUUAAACAGUACGUGAAAUUGUCAAAAGGGAAGCGUUUGACACCAGUGUUGUUUUUCUGAAAAUCAAUUAAAGAACUGUUUAUGCUAAGCUGUUUAGACUUUAUCAGCUAAUCUGUUUAGUUUUGAGCUUUUCUUUAAUGCACUUUUCAGUUAACAAGUCAACAUCAAUUUCUUUUGCUGUAAAAAAGCUUGAGGAAGGUGGCUUGAGAUUCGUCUUAAGUGUUUAUAGCCUCUUGCCUAUGCAGUCGGAGAGAUUGAGGUCUGCAGCGUAGAUCCUUCGGGGCUAAAUGCAUUUGUGCUAAGUUAUAGCAUUUCAUAGACAACUUGUUGACUAUGAUUUGUCUUGUAGCUUACUCGCUUAUGUUAUUUUACCUACGCUUAGGAUGUUGAAUCUGUGCGAGACUAC
RNAcentral lists this ribosomal RNA (774 nucleotides) under uncultured Neocallimastigales. RNAcentral describes it as "partial large subunit ribosomal RNA". It matches the Rfam family "Eukaryotic large subunit ribosomal RNA", at positions 18 to 644 of the family's 3401-position model. Lineage: Eukaryota; Fungi; Neocallimastigomycota; Neocallimastigomycetes; Neocallimastigales. The record is from RNAcentral.